Molecule: long non-coding RNA, 5408 nt
Organism: Dreissena polymorpha
Lineage: Eukaryota; Metazoa; Mollusca; Bivalvia; Myida; Dreissenidae
Exons: 6
Source: RefSeq, a predicted model, not a curated record
AGCACAAUACAUCCAUGCUGACACAGAAAGGCAGUAAUGACUUGGCUGUAAACACCCAGAGCACAAUACAUCCAUGCUGACACAGAAAGGCAGUCAUGACUAUGCAGUGAACACCCAGAGCAAGAUAUAUUCAUGCUGACACAGAAAGGAAGUAAUGACUAUGCUGUGAACACCCAGAGCACCAUUCAUCCAUGCUGACACAGAAAGGCAGUAAUGACUUGGUUGGGAACACCCAGAGCACAAUAAAUCCAUGCUGACACAGAAAGGCAGUAAUGACUUUGCUGUGAACACAGAACACGAUACACCCAUGCCAACACAGAAAGGCAGUAAUGACUUGACUGUGAACACAGAGCACAAAACAUCCAUGUUGAAAAAGAAAGGCAGUCAUGGCUAUGCUUUGAACACCCAGAGCAUGAUGUAUCCAUGCUGACACAGAAAGGCAGUAAUGACUAUGCUGUGAACACCCAGAGCAAGAUAUAUUUAUGCUGACACAAAAAGGCAGUAAUGACUAUGCUGUGAACACCCAGAGCAAGAUAUAUCCAUGCUGACACAAAAAGGAAGUAAUGACUAUGCUGUGAACACCCAGAGCAAGAUAUAUCCAUGCUGACACAGAAAGGCAGUAAUGAAUAUGCUGUGAACACCCAGAGCACAAUACAUUCAUGCUGACACAGAAAGGCAGUAAUGACUUGGUUGGGAACACCCAGAGCACAAUAAACCCAUGCUGACACAGAAAGGCAGUAAUAACUUGGCUGUGAACACCCAGAACACGAUACACCCAUGCUGACACAGAAAGGCAGUAAUGACUUGGCUGUGAACACAGAGCACAAUACAUCCUUGCUGAAACAGAAACGCAGUCAUGACUAUGCUGUGAACACCCAGAGCAUGAUAUAUUCAUGCUGACAUAGAAAGGCAGUAAUGACUAUGCAGUGAACACCCAGAGCAAGACUUAUCCAUGCUGACACAGAAAGGCAGUAAUAGCUAUGCUGUGAACACCCAGAGCACAAUACAUCCAUGCUGACACAGGAAAGCAGUAAUGACUAUGCUGUGAACACCCAGAGCACAAUACAUCCAUGCUGAUACAGAAAGGCAGUUAUGACUUGGUUGUGAAUACCCAGAGCAAGAUAUAUCCAUGCUGACACAGAAAGGCAGUAAUGACUUGGCUGUGAACACAGAACACGAUACAACCAUGCUGACACAGAAAGGCAGUAAUGACUUGGCUGUGAACACAGAACAAGAUACACCCAUGCUGACACAGAAAGGCAGUAAUGAUUUGGCUUUGAACACAGAGCACAAUACAUCCAUGCUGACACAGAAAGGCAUUAAUGACUUGGCUGUGAACACAGAGCACAAUACAUCCAUGCUGACACAGAAAGGCAGUAAUGACUUGGUUGUGAACACCCAGAGCACAAUACAUUCAUGCUGACACAGAAAGGCAGUAAAGACUUGGCUGUGAACACAGAGCACAAUACAUCCAUGCUGACACAGAAAGGCAGUAAUGACUUGGAUGUAAACACCCAGAGCACAAUACAUCCAUGCUGACACAGAAAGGCAGUAAAGACUUGGUUGUGAACACCCAGAGAACAAUACAUCCAUGCUGACACAGAAAGGCAGUAAAGACUUUGAUGGAAACACCCAGAGCACAAUACAUCUAUGCUGACACAGAAAGGCAGUAAAGACUUGGAUGUUAACACCCAGAGCACAAUACAUCCAUGCGACACAGAAAGGCAGUAAAGACUUUUGUUGUAAACACUAAGAGAUCCAUACAUCCAUGGGAUGUGCCACAGACGCAAAUUACGCCCACUAUUGUGAACAAGGUGCUUGAAGUGAACACGUCUGGAUUUGUUAUGCGGACUUAGCACUCCAAUCCCAAAAGGCCUCGCAUUGAAUUGAUGCAAGAGAAGGCUUUGAAAAAUAACAGCAGUUUUGUUGAGUGGUCCAGUACGCCCUUCGACUCUCAACCUGAAGAAAGCAGAACUCAAACUCAUCUCUUAGCAAUAUCAGCAAGGCCAGCAUGUCAUCACAGCUUCUUGAACUUCAGUGAACUUUACUAGCAAACAUGACUAACGUCAUUGAAGUGAAAGUCGAUGACAACCCCCUUCUUGCACAAAUACUGCAACUCGCUUAAGAAAUUCAGCAUGAAGACGUCUUGCGUCAGACUACCAAGCCUCCUAUCAAUAUCUCCUCCCAUGUUGGCUACAUCAACACUUCCAACAGCAGAGCCUUGGUGAGUUCGACUUCCGUCUCAGCAUCGAUGUCGCUAAGCAAUAAUUGGAUGAUGGGCAUCGACAAAUUAGACCGGACAAGUCGCUCGAACUGAAACGAUCUGAUCCAACAGAGCCGGUUCCUACAGGAUUCCAUGCAAUAGAUCGUUACCCAGAUGAACAACAGGCUGUCUGGUAAGCUGGGCCCGGAUAGGUGCAGCCAGUCUAAAGCUGGGGCUCCAAUCUUUCCUGCCAAGUGGGCUGAUAUUACCUCUUCUACAAGGGACAUAUGUCAGUGAUGUGCAAAGAGCUGGUUUUCUGUUCACAGAGAAAAAUCCUAACAACUCCAACUCCGCCACUACAUCUCGAUAGACAACCCGAAUAUCAAGGCGUUAAGUUUCUUCUGGAUGCAGUUACAGUCACAGCUUUCAAGCCAGCAACUGUUGAUUUAUUGAGAUUUUCUCCUCUCUAUGUUACCUGACCUGCUGCCUGUGAACAUCCUGCGCAUUGAACCUUUAUCCCAUUCGAUGUAAUUAAACCGGCCAAUCAAAAAGACAGCCUGUUACAGCACUUGUCAUUAGAUUGACGCCAUGCAUGCCUUUGAAGAUCAUUUAUACAUACAAUUUAAGCAUGAUAGUCAAUAAGUGCCUGCGUUUGCUUCUUAAACGACCCGCAGUCCUGAGCAUUUACGAUGGAAUUCCUCAUCUUGAAAUAUUGGGAAGGCAGGAAAACGCCUGUCACUGUUAAGACAAAAACGAGGGAAUGACAAAGAACAAUAAGACCAGCCAAGUCCUGUGAUCAGCCAAGUUUUAGGAUCAGCUUAGUUCUGUGGCCAGCCAAGUCAUGCGACACGCCAAGUGUUUUUACCAGCCAUGUCCUAUGACCAGCAGCUUUGUCUCGUGUGUACAGUCUGAUUGUAUGGGAAGAAAAAUCUACAUUUCAUAUUGUAUGGGUAUAAUGAUACUGACAGUAACCUUGAUGAUUAAGUAUUUUGUUAUAUAUUGGUGAAUAGACCAAUAUGAUAAUGGGAAACUCAGUAAUAGCAGUAAUGUAACAUUUUAUUUCAAGAGCAAAAUAAUGCAAGUACUACUAUUUUGUCUGUAUUCAGAAACUGACUCUAUAUAGCUUUAUCCUGAUUAUCGUAAACAGACAGACAAAAAUAUGUUACAAUUGUUUUUUUUAAACAUUGAUUUUAAGCCUUCACAAACUUGUUUAAAUAAUGCUGAUACCUUGGACAAUAUUUAACUUAUUUAUUGUAUAAACAAGACAUGCUUAUUUUUAGUUUUUACCUAUAAAAUAGCAAUAUGUGCUAGGUAAAAUAAUUGAUCAGAACUAUAUCAUAGUUGUGAUGCUUCUAUUUUGAUAUGUCUGUCAUUUUGUCUGUGCACAUUUAUCAUCAGUUUGCUCUUUUGAGGCAGUAUUUUAUCAAGAAUUUCAUGUAGUGAUGUAAUAGUAAAAUAUCAAAUAAUAAUUUGAUUUAUUCAAACUAUAUUAACCUUCUGUUAUUAUCAAUUUAUUUAUUGACAACAGAUACUUUGUUUAAUAUUAACAAUAAUUAAGCGCGUUAUAAAAAAUGUGUGAAUGUACAUGCAUAAUAUUGUAUAAUUAAUGAACACAUUCAUGGAAAAACAAUUUAAAUAAAGGAAAAUUUAGAAGUGCAUCUUAAUUGUAAUGGAGUUUGUUUAAUUAUUUAAAAAGUAUGCUUUCAUUGUUGAAAAUAUGAUAGUAAUUCCUCUACAAGUAAUUUUGUUUCAAAGUGAUUAUUUUCAUGAAUAAUGAUCCUAGAUAUGGUUGUAGAUUGUUCUUGUUGUAUCAUAUACUGACAUGCUCAUCAUUUGUGUUGACAUUUGCAUUCUAGCAUUAAAAGUUCAUUAUGCUUUAAAUAUUUGUAUGUAUACAUUUGCGACCAGCUUUUCUAAUGUAAUAAGUGAAUAACGUAACACAGAUUACUGUGUCACUGUAUAUAAGUUUAUUUUGUCGUUUGUAAAUAGAUCAACUGCAAAGCUAAUGUUUUUGUUUGUACAUUAUUCAUAAAAUGUUGCCAUUUCAUACAGAUACAUUCACUGUUUGAAUUCAUUUGUACAAAAUUGUUUCAUAUUAAACAUCAUUUUCAUAUCAGGCAAAAGAGAAAAAGAAUUGCUUUGGAUGAAUGAGCGCAUUAACCUGUAUAGUAAAUUAAGACAUGCAGAAUAUCAGAUUAUUAACAUAAGAAUAUACUUUAAGCAUUAGAAACACCUUGUUUUAUGUCAAGCUGUUCAGUUAAUAUAAUUAAGCAACUAUUAUCUGGAAAUUUGAACGAUUUAAGGGAGAGCAACUAUGAUAUACUAAAUAAAAUUCGUCUCCCUUGUUAGAGUAUAAUUGUACCUCUCAACGUAACAAGAACAUUGAAUCUUUUUUUUUUUUUAUUAUUCCACACUAUAAACUUUAUACUAUAUUCAUUCAAUAAUCACUAAAGAAAUAUGGUUUGCACCAGUGUUUAUUUCUAUGCGUUAUACCAGAUUCACCAGUAUGGCAUCAAUUAAAAGUCGUCAUAUUUAAAUUGCCAAAAUUGGCCAUACAGUGCUAAAAGUUUGGUAUUCUGACUAUUAUAAGUGCAUGUUCUCAUACAAUAUCACAUUGUAUAUUUUAACACUGAGGCAAUAUGUGUUAAUAUAUUAAUUUUUAUUUAUUGACUUGUUGUUGCUUGGUAAGGUGUCUAAUUUUGAAUUGUAGCUGUUUAUUGAUUGUGACUAUUUUCCAAUUGUAAAUGGUUGCUUUUAGUUGAUUGUUUACAAGUUUUGUAAAAGCUGUUUUCAUGUUGACCGCUCCACAUUAAAUGUCGUUGACGCGCAUUCACUGCGGCCAGGUUCCGUAAAACUCCCAACAAAUCUGAUGUCUUAUGAUUGGAUUCCAUACACACGUGGUUGUUUAUACUCAGCUUGCUUUGCAUUAAACAUGUCUGCUUUGUUGUUGAACAAUUAUACACAGCUUUUUAUUGAACAAAAUUGUGUAUUAUUUCAAAUUUUUGCUUUCGAUUUUUUAUUACCAACAAAAAUAUAUUUUGUUUAUUUGUAUGCAUAUUUAGCUAUAAUAAAAUUGUUUCUAUAAUAUAUAAACAACCUAUUUAUAAGCAAUAAACUAUAUUGGUAAAAGUAGAUUUAAGGUUCAAAAUCAUGUCUUAAUUUGUUCGAUUAUUCCAAAUUUAAAUUUUGCAAAAAAUUAAUUUGU